CUGAUGCGGAAGGGAGGCGCUGGGAUCUUCCUUGCUGGGAGGCGAAUUGUCCGGGAUUGCACGCGGAAGAGGAAGGAUGCUGGGUCUUAGUUCCGUAAGGUAAGGCUGAAUCAAAAGGGUAACCUCUUCGCGCAAGGGUUGGGAUAAAGGCUGGUGAAUGUGCUUCUUUCAUCGAAUUAUUCAACCAACUUUCACCGGUCGCGAGAUAAAAGACCGUCGAACUGCCUCCUUACGAAGUGGUCCUUCGUCUCUCUAUAACUAGCCGUAUAAUUCAGUUCAGGUGGACUCAACCUUCCCGCUAUCAGAAAGGAGCAAAGAAGAGGACUGGUAACCAAAGACUGCUUAGGCGAAAUGUUUGGUUAAAUGAAUGUAGGAGGAAAUGGUUUAGAGAUUUCCAGUCGGUAAAUCCUGAGACUAGUUUACUUCAGACUUUCCCGGCUAGUCUAGGGCCCUAGACCUGGCGGAGAACUACUUCAGCAAUAAUAAAUCCUAAUCCAUCAGUGCCGUAGAUAAAUGGGUCAUUAGAAGGAUUUACUCGGGAAAGCUUUUUCAACUAGGUGAUACAUGUUCAGAUAUUAUUUUUAUGUUAAAAGUCAUGCACGGGUCUUUGAAUGAAAAUUCCUCUGCGUCUCCACCUUGAGCAAGAUCCCAAAGGGAGAAUGAAGGAGUUCGAAUCUGUUUUUGGUUCAGAGAUCAUCAUGGUGGUUGUUCUCUUUUUUUUUCAAUGAAAGUCUAGUCUGGAUCUGAAAGGUACCUACGGAUAUCCCC
This 768-nucleotide long non-coding RNA is filed under the name Phoenix dactylifera (date palm). RNAcentral describes it as "long non-coding RNA (PDAC_LNC010352)". Lineage: Eukaryota; Viridiplantae; Streptophyta; Magnoliopsida; Arecales; Arecaceae. The record is from RNAcentral.